AUUUGGUCAGGUAACUUCUACAGAGUACUUAAGGGUUAAUCCAUUUAAGGCUGCUAAAGGAAGCUUAUUUUGUGAUUCCAAGCUGAGAAAAAGGCAGGAAUAUGGGGGUUGAGUCACGUCGCUCCGCCAUUUUCUAAGCGGAGGAGGAAGACAUGUUGGAACAAAAACACAACAAAAGAGCAGCCAUUUCCCAAACCAGCUCCGACAGCAACCCCAAUAAACUAAACUCAGUUACAUCCACACCUUCAAAACCACUUCAGGGGACAACCGUAUGAACACCAAAGGCAUCUCCUUAAAAAUAGCCAGACGCCAGCCCUUCCGUGUUAGGACCAAAGACGACCCGCAGAGUCAACUGCAAAUGAAAGCCCCGGGAAGCCGAAAAAAUGACAGAUGGUAAAUGCAGCAGUGCCACAAACAAAAUUUUAACCAAGUUGGGGAACUAAAAAUUACCCAACGAUUCCGGUCAACUGUGGAAUCCGGAGGACUCAGUACCGAGACCGAUUCAUCGGGUCCAAUUACUAGCCUCAACCCCUUUCACCAUUUCGCAAUUCCCUCUUGCGAGCGACUACGUGCUCCAAGGUUCUUACCGUAUGUGAGGGAUGCCAACCCCACCUUGAAGAAUCUUAUACAGUUUGCUCUCGUACAGCAACUGGGGAUGCCUGGCCUUCUGGGAUUCUAGUUUCACUGCCACUUCCUGCAGAGGAAAGGGGACGAUGGUAUCAAAAUCCCUACAGAUUCAAACUCACUUGGGAACGACAAGAAGUGUUACCGAUGCUUGCUUCUAGACGCCACCACAAGGACAUGAAAAGAUGGGGAAAGCUACCGUGGUAAUUACAAAACACAAGCAGCCUCAAAGGCCUUUUCAGGGGGGCAAAGGCGACCCCCCUCCCAAUGUCCUCUAAAUCUAAAGUGAAUGAAAAGAAGUCAUGCAGAAAACAGGCAACCUUGGAACCUAAGGCGAGACUUUUUAAAGCAAACUGUUCUUACUGGAACAAGAACCCCGGACUAAAUUUAAGAUAAAUUUAAGAAAUACAAAGAAAACCAUGGCGAUCAUACGA
Long non-coding RNA from Mastomys coucha (southern multimammate mouse), 1058 nucleotides. RefSeq lists it as uncharacterized. The record is from RefSeq and is a predicted model, not a curated record. NCBI's taxonomy places the organism in Eukaryota, Metazoa, Chordata, Mammalia, Rodentia, Muridae. The transcript is spliced from 2 exons.